GAUCCUGGCUCAGGACGAACGCUGGCGGCGUGCUUAACACAUGCAAGUCGAACGGAGCACCCUUGAUUGAGGUUUCGGCCAAAUGAUAGGAAUGCUUAGUGGCGGACUGGUGAGUAACGCGUGGGGAACCUGCCUUUCAGAGAGGGACAACAGUUGGAAACGACUGCUAAUACCGCAUGACGCAUUUUGAUCGCAUGGUCGAAAUGCCAAAGAUUUAUCGCUGAAAGAUGG
RNAcentral lists this ribosomal RNA (231 nucleotides) under uncultured bacterium. RNAcentral describes it as "partial 16S ribosomal RNA". It matches the Rfam family "Bacterial small subunit ribosomal RNA", at positions 15 to 228 of the family's 1533-position model. The record is from RNAcentral.